RNAcentral lists this ribosomal RNA (504 nucleotides) under uncultured Actinomycetes bacterium. RNAcentral describes it as "bacterial SSU rRNA". It matches the Rfam family "Bacterial small subunit ribosomal RNA", at positions 8 to 522 of the family's 1533-position model. The record is from RNAcentral. Lineage: Bacteria; Bacillati; Actinomycetota; Actinomycetes.
AGAGUUUGAUCAUGGCUCAGGACGAACGCUGGCGGCGUGCUUAACACAUGCAAGUCGAACGGUGACAGGGGAGCUUGCUCCCCUCGAUCAGUGGCGAACGGGUGAGUAACACGUGAGUAACCUGCCCCAGACUCUGGGAUAACAUCGGGAAACCGGUGCUAAUACCGGAUAUGAGACGAGACUGCAUGGUCAUCGUCUGGAAAGAUUUAUCGGUCUGGGAUGGACUCGCGGCCUAUCAGCUAGUUGGUGAGGUAACGGCUCACCAAGGCGACGACGGGUAGCCGGCCUGAGAGGGCGAACGGCCACACUGGAACUGAGACACGGUCCAGACUCCUACGGGAGGCAGCAGUGGGGAAUAUUGCACAAUGGGCGCAAGCCUGAUGCAGCGACGCCGCGUGGGGGAUGAAGGCCUUCGGGUUGUAAACCCCUUUCAGCAGGGAAGAAGCGAAAGUGACGGUACCUGCAGAAGAAGCGCCGGCUAACUACGUGCCAGCAGCCGCGGUA